Magnolia sinica is the source of this 786-nucleotide long non-coding RNA. RefSeq lists it as uncharacterized. Lineage: Eukaryota; Viridiplantae; Streptophyta; Magnoliopsida; Magnoliales; Magnoliaceae. The transcript has 6 exons. The record is from RefSeq and is a predicted model, not a curated record.
AGGGCUGAUGAAUGGAAUGUCAACAAAUGGGCAUGGGAAGGGGCAUUAAAAGUAAUCAACAGAGGGGAGGAGUGCAUUAUCAAGCUUGAAGAUAAGACAACAGGAGAGCUUUAUGCUCGAGCAUUUCUAAGAAACGGGGAGCCACAUUUGGUGGAGCCUGUGAUUGACAGCAGCAGGAAAAAAAGGCGGCGUGGACAGAGGACUAGACCAUAUCUUAAAGGAAGUGCUCGUGCCCAAUUAGCAUUUUUUGCAAGCUGAAUACCCUAUGUGUGCAUCUGUAGCAUGUAGCAUUCUUUCUCUCCCUUUAAAAUUUUUUUUAAUAGGUUGCACAGUUUGAUUUUCUUCUGCACAGUUGCAGUCAAACACCUAUAGUCAAUAUAGCAGUAAUUCCCUCUUAACUAAUAAAGAUUACAUGCAUAGCCAUGAAAUCCUACCUGAUCACCUAAGAAGAAGAUGCCCAUGAAUUUUUGAGGUAUGUUAUUGAUACAAUGCAAUCUAUAUGCCUUAAGGAAGCUGGUGCAAAUGUAACGGACCCUUUGGCAGGGGAAACUACUCUUAUACAACUGAUUUUUGAGGGUUACCUUCGAUCUAAGAUAAGGUGCAUGAAAUGCCAAGGCAAGUCUGAGAAGCAUGAAUGGAUGAUGGAUCUAACUAUUGAGAUACAUGGGGAUAUUGGAACUCUUGAAGAAGCACUUGCACAAUUAACGGCUACUAAAAUCUUGGAUGGAGACAAUAAAACCACUGUAGCAGGUUGGUUGGUGCUUGUCUGUUUUGACUUGAAGAUGU